Molecule: non-coding RNA, 77 nt
Organism: Podarcis lilfordi (Lilford's wall lizard)
Lineage: Eukaryota; Metazoa; Chordata; Lepidosauria; Squamata; Lacertidae
Source: the annotation of a GenBank genome assembly
ACCCCGAGGGAUAGCUCAGUCAAUACAGCAUGAGACGCUUAAUUUCAGGGUCAUGGGUUCAAGACCCACAUGGGGCA